GAUGAACGCUGGCGGCGUGCCUAAUACAUGCAAGUCGAGCGAACAGACGAGGAGCUUGCUCCUCUGACGUUAGCGGCGGACGGGUGAGUAACACGUGGAUAACCUACCUAUAAGACUGGGAUAACUUCGGGAAACCGGAGCUAAUACCGGAUAACAUGUUGAACCGCAUGGUUCAACAGUGAAAGACGGUCUUGCUGUCACUUAUAGAUGGUUCCGCGCCGCAUUAGCUAGUUGGUAAGGUAACGGCUUACCAAGGCAACGAUGCGUAGCCGACCUGAGAGGGUGAUCGGCCACACUGGAACUGAGACACGGUCCAGACACCUACGGGAGGCAGCAGUAGGGAAUCUUCCGCAAUGGGCGAAAGCCUGACGGAGCAACGCCGCGUGAGUGAAGAAGGUCUUCGGAUCGUAAAACUCUGUUAUUAGGGAAGAGCAAAUGUGUAAGUAACUAUGCACGUCUUGACGGUACCUAAUCAGAAAGCCACGGCUAACUACGUG
This 497-nucleotide ribosomal RNA is filed under the name uncultured bacterium. Its description in RNAcentral is "partial 16S ribosomal RNA". It matches the Rfam family "Bacterial small subunit ribosomal RNA", at positions 28 to 507 of the family's 1533-position model. The record is from RNAcentral.